Molecule: ribosomal RNA, 508 nt
Filed under: uncultured bacterium
Lineage: Bacteria
Description: partial 16S ribosomal RNA
Rfam family: Bacterial small subunit ribosomal RNA
Source: RNAcentral
GACGAACGCUGGCGGCGCGCUUAACACAUGCAAGUCGAGCGAGAACCAGGGCUUCGGCCCUGGGGACAGCGGCGAACGGGUGAGUAACACGUGGGUAAUCCACCCUCGGCACCGGAAUAGCCCGGGGAAACCCGGAUUAAUGCCGGAUGGCCCGCCGGCCCCGAGGGGCUGGCGGAAAAGGUAGCUUCGGCCUCCGGCCGAGGACGAGCCCGCGACGGAUUAGCUUGUUGGUGGGGUAACGGCCUACCAAGGCUGCGAUCCGUAGCUGGUCUGGGAGGACGAUCAGCCACACUGGGACUGGGACACGGCCCAGACUCCUACGGGAGGCAGCAGUGGGGAAUCUUGCGCAAUGGGCGAAAGCCUGACGCAGCGACGCCGCGUGGGGGAAGAAGGCCUUCGGGUUGUAAACCUCUUUCAGGAGGGACGAAGCCACUCGGGUUAAAAGCCCAGAGGGUGACGGUACCUCCAGAAGAAGCCCCGGCUAACUACGUGCCAGCCGCCGCAGUAA